AGCCAUGAGAGCAAGCCAGUAAGCAGCAUUCCUCCAUGGCCUCUGCAUCAGCUCUUGUCUCCCAGUUCCUGCCCUGUGUGAGUUCCUGUCCUGACUCCCUUCAAUGAUGAACAGGAUAUCUUCAAGGCACUCCAUCCGAUUUGUUGAACAUGACCUCCCCAGCCUGGGUCCUCGCAGCCUUCCUUCAAGAAAGUGGGCUUUUCCAGGUGCUCUCCCACCACUGCCUUCAAGAAUGCUUCCAAGAAUUCCUUCCACUUCACCCUUCUCUACCCCCAAGCACACCAGAUGUUACACAUGCUAGUGUCCUAUCUUUCUGCUUGUCUUAAGAGGAAUCUUAAAAGAAAUAUGAAGGCUAUAUCUGGCUAUCUUCAAAUCCUUCCAAAGAGAUGGCUUUCAGUCACUGCCUCUUUACCUUGACUGCUCUUCCUGAGUUCAAGCUUUUUUUUAAAAUGGUAAAAUGAAUCUCCACGUUUUGCUUUGUUUUGCUUACCAUUUUCAUGACAUAUUAUGAUGUGUUUAAAAUAGCCAUGCCAUUGUGAACAUACUGUAUUGUGUAUCAUAAUUGUGCAUGACUUUAUUUAUGAGCUAAAUAAAUGAAUGAAAAAAAAAAGAAGGGACUUUGAGAGCCCAUCCCAUGGGAAGGGAUGCUCUCAUCCAGGACACAUGGGGGAGCGCCUAGGCCUGGCCCAGGAUGAAGUUGUGGAAUUUGGG
RNAcentral lists this long non-coding RNA (711 nucleotides) under Cricetulus griseus (Chinese hamster). RNAcentral's name for it is "lncRNA (ENSCGRG00015038429.1)". The record is from RNAcentral. Lineage: Eukaryota; Metazoa; Chordata; Mammalia; Rodentia; Cricetidae.